Molecule: non-coding RNA, 5131 nt
Organism: Phasianus colchicus (ring-necked pheasant)
Lineage: Eukaryota; Metazoa; Chordata; Aves; Galliformes; Phasianidae
Source: RefSeq, a predicted model, not a curated record
UUCUUCCCAGACCUCAUUUAAAGGUUGGCAAGGGAGGAAAGAGUAUUUUGCUGGGGGUCUCUGCGUUCCUGAAGCCUUCAAAGGGCAGCCAUAUGCUCACAGUGCCUCCAUUCACUUCGGCAGCUGCGUAUGGUAGAUGCAGUGACCGGAAGCUGCAGUCCAGCUUUCAGAUGAUCAGAUGAUGCAAAGUCUGGAAAAUAACAAACAUGAGCUCUCCAAGCAUGGGCAUAACUGUUACUGCACGCGCGCUGUAAUUCAGGAACUAACAGAUGUCCCUAAGCUUCAUGCCUGGCCCAAAAGGGACAUAAGAAGGGAACUGGUUCAGGGUUUAUGCACAGCUGCACGGAUCAGAUGACACUGUCAGCUGAAUCUGCCCCUAGCCAGUCCUGAUUUAUCAGAGCAGGAACCCUGACCUUUAUUUGGGCACAGAAAUACCAUCUUGGAAAGCUCUGCAAAGAAGAAGAGCAAGGACCGUAAGAAUCCAAGGCAUUUCUGUAAAGAAGAGUCUGGUUACAGACUGAGAUAUGCAGGCCUCCAUAGCUGUGUGCUCCUCACUGGCGUUUGUCAGAAGCAGUCCCAAAGGAUGCUUUCCAGGGGCCGGGCUUGUGGAACAUUUAACAUUUCCACUUAUGUUUAUCUGGGCGUGACAAGCACUGCUACACAUGAUGGUCUUAUUCCCAACUCUGCAAGGUGGGAGCUCAGACUUAUGGUAAUCAGUGGCCGUUUGGUGGCCAGCACAGAAUGAGUUGGCAGCUGCCAUCAGGUCCUGUGUCAUGAAACCACUGUGCACUGGCAUCCUCGGCUCAACAGAAGAAGCCAGGACGUUUUUCUCAUUCUUACUUGGAACACAAAACCUGAGCUUGAGCUCUGCUUUCACAAGGCAUGGUGGCUGAAGAUAGCUCUGCAGAUCUGCAUGACCAGGACUUGACCAUAUUUCAAAACACGGCUGAAAAGGGGAAGUGGAGAACCCCUGUGGAUUUCCUUUCAACCUCAUCUUCCUGGAUUGGGCAAAUGAUGCUUGGGACUGUUAUGGCUGCAGCUGAGCUCUGAAGGCACACAGCCAGGGCACUGAUGCCAUGAGACAGGGCACUGGGUUUUCUCCCAUUGGCCUCAGUGAGACAGCGGAGGAAAAAUAGGCUGCAGCCUGGGUUGUACUGUCAGGUCUGACCAUGGGAGAAUGCUUUCUUUUAAGCUUAGCAGUUACCUAUUCACAAAUGCUCCUCUUUCAAAGUCAUAGAAUCAUAGAAUCUUAAGGUUGGAAAAGACCACUUAAGAGCAUCUAGUCCAAUCACCAGCCCAUCACCACCACGCCCACUAAACUGUGCCACUCAAUGCCACAAGUCCAUAGGAUAACUUUUUUUUUUCCUACUGUAAAGCAACAGGGACUUUCCAUUUGUAGAAAGAAGGGAGCAUAGGUUGGUGGCUACAGCUCAGAAGCAGCAGCUUGGAGAUAAAGCAUCCAUUAACUUGCAGGCACUUGCAGAGUUCUAAUUAUGGGCAGCUCUUAAUCUCUUGUGUUGUUUUUUCCUAAAAUGCACUGAUAAAGAGUGAGAACUAAUCCUGAAAGACAAGGCACUCAAAGGGACAUCAGCAGCCUCUCUGCAGAGCAGACUAAUGUUGUGCAAUGCUUAUCUGCAGAAAUCUGCAAUUCCGAGUACAAGGAGUGCCCUGUUUGCAGCAAGGCCAGGUCUAUGGCAGUGGCCCCAUGGGAACUGCAGUUUCCCUCCCAGACAUGACUUAGUUCAAGACCUUUGCCUCAACCUUUGCAGCAACUUGUGUACCAUCAAUUUUCAGUUUCAUAGUUUUAGAAAGCAGCACAAAAAGCCCCUCAAAAGAGCAAGUAGAGUGCUACCCAGCUGCAUGGAUGGUCACAAGGAAAUCAGUAGACCAGGAAAUGGAAGGACAAGGAGAAGUGUCAAAGUUAGAGAGCAAAUUUAUUUAUCACAGGACUUGUUCUUCCACUUGCACACAUUUCCUUCUGCAUGGUGUCCUACUGUCCGUCUCUGUGGGGUUGUGGGGAACGACCACACAUCUCUGUUUCCUCACUUGUCCUGGAGGUCCUGAAAUGCAGAGGUGCCUGCAUUGUUGUUUCACUAACACAGCUAGUUCUUAAUGGCCCUGUGAUGUUUACUUAGGUCCUGUGGCCCCACAGGGGAAAAAAUGGCUCUUUUAGCACAAGAAGCCUGAUGGAAAGGGUGGUUUAUGAGAGGAACAAAGUUUUGGGAAGAGAGGAAAAGUCAAAUGAGUGCAAACACCAAAGCUAUUCCCUUGCUUGAAAGGAAUACUAAGAAAACUUGCUCAGUGGGUCGUGAUGAGCUCAUUCAGUCCGUUAGAUUACUGGAAAAAUCUUCCACUUUGAGAAGUAUGCAUGCGUCUGUGUUGAGUCAGAAUCUGGCAGAGCUGCUUUAGUACACAUUUUUGUUGUGAAAAAGUCCCUUUUGUCUUUUGUGAACCUGAAAAAUUUCUGGCCUGAGUAGGCUCUAUGUUUCAAAGUUUUUUGCACAGAAAAUGUAGGCUCUGCACUGUUGCGUGGCAGUGUGGUCGUAGGCAGUGUGGUAUCUCUGGGCCUAGGGUGGGUUGGUUUCUUACUUGCACUUUUUUCCAGUGUUGUGCAUCCCUUUCUUGCUGUCCAGGCAGCUUUUAUGCAGUGUACAAAUAGUGGUGCAUGAAAACAUUGCAGGCACACCCCUGCACAUGCUCAUGUACAAUUCAUGGUUCCAAAAGUUUGCUGUACGCGUAACAACUUUUUUCUGCUGAACUUCUUGGCAUACUUUCAGUGCAGAGCUGGCAGCCUUCGUACAAUGAAUGCAGCCUAAAGUGUGGGGGCUCAGAGAAAAUAAUGAGAUCUGUGACACUGAGAAAACACAGUCACAGACACCACAGCACUACUCUGGGAUGAGCACAGUAGCUGCAGGGGAGGGGUCAUGGUCAAAUAUGCUAUUUCAAGCAAAAUCUGAGAGGAGGAUGUGUGCUUGGCCACAGGAAGAGCGUUGUCUUAGUCACAGCAGUUAAUCAUGCAACAUGAAGAGAAGUACGUACAGCAAGAUUUCUGUUUCCAGCAGUUUUUCCUCCUCUGAAAUGACUUGCAUAUAUUUUCUCCUUGCUAUUUGCAGUAUGGCAGCAUCUGCGCCCGGCCUUGAUGAAAAGCCGGCAGCUCCAGGCGGUGUGAGCCACACUGCCGUCACCAAGCUAACCUCCCCAUGCCUCUUGCAGGCAGACAGAGACAAGGAGAGAAAAAAAAUGUCCGGUGACGUCAAUAAAGACCACAUUCUGCUGGAUAAUAUUACUGUGUGCCUCAACCGCCCACUCCCUUUAAUUUACUAGAAGCUAAGCAAGCUGUUUUGAAACCCAUAGCUUCCAGCAUGUUUACGCUGCUCUCCCUCAACCAAAGGCUACUAAUUGUCAGGAGCUUGAAAGCUACCUGAUGCCUCGUUCAAAGCGCUGAAGCAGAGGGGAUUUCCAUGAGUAAUAAUUUCAGUCUGUGCCUGCGCAGCACACCGUAGGCUAGAGUAAAUUGAUCCAGCUGCUUGCAAGGCUGGAUGGAAAAGUGCCCAGGGGGGCCAGAGCGCAGCACCAGAUGGAGUUAGAUGUCAUCACGUGGGGCUCCCAGCUGCUGGGCAUGCUCCAGCCUGGCUCCCAGCAGCAGCAGCAGCUCUGCAGGCUGGGCUGCACUGCUCGCAGCAUGUGGUUGGGUCGCCAGUGCGUGUUGCAACAUCUUCUCUUGUAACGAAGAGGACAAUUUUGGAUUAGCCAGAACCGUUGUCUUUUGCUCAGCUGCAAUCUUCUCUGUGACAACGACUAAAAAAGCUUGUGAGAGGCCGGCUGCCUCCACAAAUAACCAGAACUGGCAGGAUUAACCUGUAACCCGGGGCGGUGUAUACACACAUCCCACCAGCCAGAUGGCAGAGUUCAAAGAUCCGCUCACUUCCUGGCCGAGGUUGCAAAAGUUAAUUUUUAUCCUUGUUAAAAAGAAGUAAGAAAACAUAGCAAUAAAAUGUGUGCUGCUUGCUAUCUCUGGUUUUAAUCACCCUUGUUUUAUUCCUUUGCAUUUUGCUAUUAAAUAGGUUUGGGGGAUGUUAGGGAAAGGCAUUUUUUUUCUCUUGUGGAGAUGUUUAAAAUCCUGCUUGGUGUCUUUGUUAUUUUACUGGGGUAUUUGUGUGAUCAAUUCAAUUUAGUCCUUUGGCAAGGAGUGCAAAAUAAGAGGAACUAAUUAAAAUAGCAGGAAUGCAGUUCACCAUUUUUUUUCCAAAUGAGCAAUUCAAUUAGAAGCACAGCGAGAGCUGGCACCCUGGAUCUGGAGGCUCCUAUGUGGAGGCUCCUGCAGGUCUGAGGCUGCUGCAGCCGGGGCCCUCUUGCCAGCAGUGUGGGGAAAGCACCGCAAUCACGCAGUACUGCAACAUGGGGACAUUGUGCCACUCAUGUUUGUACACAUGCUAGAGCAAAAGUCAGCAUAUCUAACCAUGAGGGCACUCUAGGUCCUUCCUUGGCCUUGAACAUCUGACUUUCCUUACCUCAGUGCUAACUGUGACAAGAAAGGCUGUAGAGUGUGAGGUUCUGAUAAGCACUGGUGCGCACUGCAAUCAUAUGGAUGUCAUGAUGUGUAGGCAAAGGUGAGCAUCCCAGCCAGCAGAUUGCAGGAGCAGGAGGGGAAGAGUAAAGUUCACGGGCUGUUUUCAUGAAGGUUUGUCCUUGCUGGCUGAGCCAUUAUUGAACAUGGCUGAAGCUGCUGGCAGUGCAGCCACAAACCUGCAGGUACCCUUCAGGAGAACAGCACUGGGAGUUCCAGGCAGGGAGUUCAUGAUUAAUUUUGCAGGCAUUUAUUGUGCAAUAUGUAAUGGCCACCAGCCAGCUCAGAAGUUAAGCCAGAAGAUGACUGUCAAAUGAAACAGUUACGUUUGGCAGAUCUUUCCGAAGCUGCUGUGCAAAACAGGCAUCUUGAAGCUAAUUUUUGGGUUUUCCAGAUCUUCUGCACAGCUUGUUCUUGUAUCAUGGUCCUUUUCAUUUCCCCCUUUCUAGCAGAUGAAUUGGUUUUCACUUGCAUGCUGUGUAAGUUUUAGUCAGGAUUUUUCCUAUAGGCAGCACUCUCUGUGCCCUGCAAUCAGCAGCAGCUCUCUCCUGGUGAUUCGUCCUU